RNAcentral lists this transfer RNA (72 nucleotides) under Marmota marmota marmota (Alpine marmot). It matches the Rfam family "tRNA". From Rfam's summary of the family: Transfer RNA (tRNA) molecules are approximately 80 nucleotides in length. Their secondary structure includes four short double-helical elements and three loops (D, anti-codon, and T loops). Further hydrogen bonds mediate the characteristic L-shaped molecular structure. tRNAs have two regions of fundamental functional importance: the anti-codon, which is responsible for specific mRNA codon recognition, and the 3' end, to which the tRNAs corresponding amino acid is attached (by aminoacyl-tRNA synthetases). tRNAs cope with the degeneracy of the genetic code in two manners: having more than one tRNA (with a specific anti-codon) for a particular amino acid; and 'wobble' base-pairing, i.e. permitting non-standard base-pairing at the 3rd anti-codon position. Lineage: Eukaryota; Metazoa; Chordata; Mammalia; Rodentia; Sciuridae. The record is from Rfam by way of RNAcentral. RNAcentral also lists the same sequence under 1 other name.
AGAGUUGUGGCUCAGUGGUAGAGCGCUCACCUAGCAUGUGUGAGGCCCUGGGUUCGAUCCUCAGCAAUACAU